UACGUAGGGUGCGAGCGUUGUCCGGAAUUACUGGGCGUAAAGAGCUCGUAGGUGGUUUGUCGCGUUGUCCGUGAAAACUCACAACUCAAUUGUGGGCGUGCGGGCGAUACGGGCAGACUGGAGUACUGCAGGGGAGACUGGAAUUCCUGGUGUAGCGGUGGAAUGCGCAGAUAUCAGGAGGAACACCGGUGGCGAAGGCGGCAUCCUGGACCGGCAUUGACGCUGAGGCGCGAAAGCCAGGGGAGCAAACGGG
This 253-nucleotide ribosomal RNA is filed under the name uncultured bacterium. Its description in RNAcentral is "partial 16S ribosomal RNA". It matches the Rfam family "Bacterial small subunit ribosomal RNA", at positions 524 to 776 of the family's 1533-position model. The record is from RNAcentral.